CCUACGGGAGGCAGCAGUGGGGAAUAUUGGGCAAUGGGCGCAAGCCUGACCCAGCAACGCCGCGUGAAGGAAGAAGGCUUUCGGGUUGUAAACUUCUUUUCUCAGGGACGAAGAAUGUUACGGUACCUGAGGAAUAAGCCACGGCUAACUUCGUGCCAGCCGCCGCGGUAAUACGUAGGUGGCAAGCUUAAUCCGGAUUUAUGGGGUUAAAGGGUCGUGUAGGUGGGAGGGCAAGUCAGAUGUGAAAACUCAGGGCUCAACCCUGGCCCUGCAUUUGACACUGUGUUUCUUGAGUGCUGGUGCGGCGAGCGGAAUGCCGGGUGUAGCGGUGAAAUGCGUAGAUAUAC
RNAcentral lists this ribosomal RNA (347 nucleotides) under uncultured bacterium. RNAcentral describes it as "partial 16S ribosomal RNA". It matches the Rfam family "Bacterial small subunit ribosomal RNA", at positions 338 to 699 of the family's 1533-position model. The record is from RNAcentral.